GGAGGUAUAGCUUACUGGUAUAGCAUAUAUUUGGCACAUGAAAGGCCUCGGGUUCAAUCCCUGGUACCACCA
Molecule: transfer RNA, 72 nt
Filed under: Heterocephalus glaber (naked mole-rat)
Lineage: Eukaryota; Metazoa; Chordata; Mammalia; Rodentia; Bathyergidae
Rfam family: tRNA
About the family: Transfer RNA (tRNA) molecules are approximately 80 nucleotides in length. Their secondary structure includes four short double-helical elements and three loops (D, anti-codon, and T loops).
Source: Rfam by way of RNAcentral